RNAcentral lists this unclassified non-coding RNA (358 nucleotides) under soil metagenome. Its description in RNAcentral is "partial contains 5.8S ribosomal RNA, internal transcribed spacer 2, and large subunit ribosomal RNA". The stretch from base 1 to 120 matches the Rfam family "5.8S ribosomal RNA", at positions 35 to 154 of the family's 154-position model. The record is from RNAcentral.
GAUGAAGAACGCAGCGAAAUGCGAUAAGUAAUGUGAAUUGCAGAAUUCAGUGAAUCAUCGAAUCUUUGAACGCACAUUGCGCCCGUCAGUAUUCUGGCGGGCAUGCCUGUUCGAGCGUCAUUACGCCCCUCAAGUCCCCUGUGGACUUGGUGUUGGGGAUCGGCGAGGCUGGUUUUCCAGCACAGCCGUCCCUUAAAUUAAUUGGCGGUCUCGCCGUGGCCCUCCUCUGCGCAGUAGUAAAACACUCGCAACAGGAGCCCGGCGCGGUCCACUGCCGUAAAACCCCCCAACUUUUUAUAGUUGACCUCGAAUCAGGUAGGCCUACCCGCUGAACUUAAGCAUAUCAAUAAGCGGAGGA